RNAcentral lists this long non-coding RNA (939 nucleotides) under Lathyrus oleraceus (garden pea). Its description in RNAcentral is "Pisum sativum (pea) long non-coding RNA (PSAT_LNC000536)". Lineage: Eukaryota; Viridiplantae; Streptophyta; Magnoliopsida; Fabales; Fabaceae. The record is from RNAcentral.
AUUAUUGAGAAGUAAGUAGUUUUAUCCUUUGGAUGUAAAAGGGUCAUCGUAGGGUCGUUGAUUGGUCAUCGAAGGCAACAGUUGUAAGGAUACCUUAGCAUUCGAAAGGACGAUCAUCAUUUAACCGUAGGCCACACCGAAGGGUCAUCGAGGGACAAAAACCAUAUAUUCGAGGCAACAUCCGAGGGACUAUGAUUUAUUUUAUGAUGAUUUAAUCGAAGGGUCUUUGCUAAGUGUAUCCCCACAUUCGCGGGACAUGACCGUAAUACCGUAAUAUCGCAAGGCAAAAGAGAGGUCCAAGAUCACAUAUUUAAAGGCCAUAUUUUAAAGUUAAUUAGGUAAUUAGGAUGAAUCUCCACAUUAGAAUCAAGACAUUAAAAAUAAUACAUUAAAAUUACGACAUUAAAAUUAAUUAAGCAAUUUAGGGUAGAUCUUCACAAAGGUAUCCCACAAAUAAAGUGGAAGACCUAAACAGCAAUCUUUUCCUGGGGUGUGUGAACCUUUGCAACAUUCAGCAAACGAGUUAGAAUACCAAAUCAGGGUGCAAUUGAGGAUUACACCGCAAAACGAACACAGCAGCAUGCAUGUCAGGCAAACAACGCAGAAUUAACAUAGAAUAGAUCAGAUAAGCAUAGGACAUAACAACCAAAAUAUUAGCGACUGCCACGUUCGCCUCUGCCUCGCCUAGCGAAGGCCUAACGAAUAUUCGCUACUUGCUCGCUUAGCGAUGUGCUAGCGAGCGGCUGCGGGUUUUGAAUUUUAGAACAGUAUAAUCUCAGCAUGCUGCAAGCCUUAUGGUAUUCAAUUACAGCAAUAAUAUGGUCAAACAUUCAGGAUAGGCAGACGUACUUAGACUCACAUGCAAAAUCUAACUACAUAUCCAAAAAUUCGAUUAUGAUGCAUUAUGUAUUUAGAGAUUACAACGUGGAAGCAUAAAAC